Molecule: ribosomal RNA, 497 nt
Filed under: uncultured bacterium
Lineage: Bacteria
Description: partial 16S ribosomal RNA
Rfam family: Bacterial small subunit ribosomal RNA
Source: RNAcentral
GAUGAACGCUGGCGGCGUGCCUAAUACAUGCAAGUCGAGCGAACGGACGAGAAGCUUGCUUCUCUGAUGUUAGCGGCGGACGGGUGAGUAGCACGUGGAUACCCUACCUAUAAGACUGGGAUAACUUCGGGAAACCUGAGCUAAUACCGGAUAAUAUUUUGAACCGCAUGGUUCAAAAGUGAAAGACGGUCUUGCUGUCACUUAUAGAUGGAUCCUCGCUGCAUUAGCUAGUUGGUAAGGUAACGGCUUACCAAGGCAACGAUGCAUAGCCGACCUGAGAGGGUGAUCGGCCACACUGGAACUGAGACACGGUCCAGACUCCUACGGGAGGCAGCAGUAGGGAAUCUUCCGCAAUGGGCGAAAGCCUGACGGAGCAACGCCGCGUGAGUGAUGAAGGUCUUCGGAUCGUAAAACUCUGUUAUUAGGGAAGAACAUAUGUGUAAGUAACUGUGCACAUCUUGACGGUACCUACUCAGAAAGCCACGGCUAACUACGUG